UUUUUGUGGGGGGCGGGGGGGGUGGCGAGUACGUGGAAGCCGCAGUCGUCAGCCUCGUGAACGCGCAGGGAGAAAAGCGCCGCCAAGAUGAUGUGCGAGGUGAUGCCCACCAUCAGCGAGGACACGGCGCUGAGUCAGCGCGGUUCCCAGAGCAGCUCGUCGGACCCGGACUCGCACUUUGAGCAGCUGAUGGUCAACAUGCUGGAUGAGAGGGACCGGCUGCUGGACACGCUGAGGGAGACGCAGGAGAGUCUGGGUCUGGCCCAGCAGCACCUGCAGGACGUCAUCUACGACCGCGACUCGCUGCAGAGGCAGCUCAGCUCCGCCCUGCCGCAGGAGUUUGCGGCCCUCACAAAGGAGCUGAACGCCUGCAGGGAGCAGCUGCUGGAGAAGGAGGAGGAGAUCUCCGAGCUAAAGGCCGAGAGGAACAACACCAGGCUGCUGUUGGAGCAUCUGGAGUGUCUGGUGUCGCGACACGAGCGUUCUCUGCGCAUGACGGUGGUCAAGAGGCAGGCCCAGUCGCCCUCUGGGGUCUCCAGUGAGGUGGAGGUCCUCAAAGCCCUCAAGUCCUUGUUUGAGCAUCACAAAGCCCUUGACGAGAAGGUGAGGGAGCGACUGCGGGUGUCAUUGGAGAGGGUGUCUGUCUUGGAGGAGGAGCUUACAGCAGCCAAUCAGGAGAUCGUGGCCUUACGUGAGCAGAAUGCUCACAUCCAGAGGAAGGUGGCGUCGGGCGACGGCGGCGACGACAUCCUGGAGGGCGGCGAAGCUCAGCAGAAGGUCCAUGGAAAGCGGCUGUCCAAUGGCUCCCUGGAGUCGGCACGUGAGGCCAGCCAGGUGGUGGAGCUGCAGGACCUGCUGGAGAAGCAGAACUACGAGUUGGCCCAGAUGAAGGAGCGCAUGUCCUCGCUGUCGUCCCGCGUCUGCGAGGUGGAGCAGGAGCUGGAGACCGCUCGUAAGGACCUCAUCAAGUCAGAGGAGAUGAACAACAAGUACCAGCGGGACAUCAAAGAGGCCAUGUGCCAGAAGGAGGACAUGGAGGAGCGCAUCGUCACACUGGAGAAGCGCUACCUGAGCGCCCAGCGAGAGUCCACGUCGGUCCACGACAUCAACGACAAGCUGGAGAACGAGCUGGCCAACAAGGAGGCCUUCCUCAGACAGAUGGAGGAGAAGAACCGGCAGCUGCAGGAGAGGCUGGAGUUGGCCGAGCAGAAGCUCCAGCAAACCAUGAGGAAGGCCGAGACUCUACCAGAGGUGGAGGCCGAGCUGGCCCAGAGGAUUGCCGCCCUCACCAAAGCGGAGGAGCGUCACGGCAGCAUUGAGGAGAGGAUGAGGCACUUGGAGUGCCAGCUGGAGGAGAAAAACCAGGAGCUUCUCAGGGCUCGCCAGCGAGAGAAGAUGAAUGAGGAGCACAACAAGCGUCUCUCGGACACGGUUGACAGGCUCCUCACGGAGUCCAACGAGCGUCUGCAGCUUCACCUGAAGGAGCGGAUGGCGGCUCUAGAAGAGAAGAAUCUGCUGAUUCAGGACUCUGAGGGCUACAGGAAGCAGUAUGAGGAGUCCAUCCAUGAAAAGACGCACCUGGCCGGGGAGAUCGAGAAGCUGAGAUUGGAGUUGGACCAGUUCCGAUUGAGGGCAGGAUCCCUCACUGAACCUACCCUCUCACGGUCUCAUCUGGACACGUCCGGCGAGCUCCGGUUCUCGCUAGGCUCUCUGGCUGAGACCCAAUCCGACCACUACCGCUCGGCCAAAGUCAUCCGCCGGCCCAGGCGAGGUCGGAUGGAUCUGCAUGACACCAAGGCCAAGUCGCUGGGGGAGCACGAGUGGCGCUCGCAACAGCUCGGGGUUCUGGGGGGCCACCACUUCGAGAGCGACACAGAGAUGUCUGACAUCGACGACGACGACAGAGAAACGCUAUUCAGCUCCAUGGACCUCCUCUCGCCUGGCGGCCACUCCGACGCACAAACCCUGGCCAUGAUGCUGCAGGAGCAGCUGGACGCCAUCAACAAGGAGAUCCGGCUGAUUCAGGAGGAGAAGGAGUCGACGGAGCUGCGGGCUGAGGAGAUCGAGAACCGUGUGGCCAGCGUCAGCUUGGAGGGUCUCAACCUGGCACGGAUGCACCAUCACCACCACGGCGCCUCCAUGACCGCCUCGGCCACCGCCUCCUCGCUGGCGUCGUCCUCCCCGCCCAGCGGACGCUCCACCCCCAAACUUGACCCCCGGAGUCCUGCUCGCGACAUGGAACGUAUGGGAGUGAUGACGCUGCCCAGCGAUCUAAGGAAGCACAGGAGAAAGAUAGCGGCGGUGGACGAAGACGGCCGUGAGGACAAGGCCACCAUCAAGUGUGAGACGUCACCUCCGUCGACACCGCGCACCGUCCGGAUGACGCACACGCUGCCAUCCUCGCACAAUGACGCUCGCGGCUUUGCCUCUCUGGAAGCUGAAGGCACCCUGAGCAGCGUCGCCAGCAGCCAGGACUCCCUGCACAAGCAGCCCAAAAAGAAGGGCAUCAAGUCGUCCAUCGGGCGGCUCUUCGGCAAGAAAGAGAAGGGCCGACUGGCACAUCUUGCACACAGACAUGUCAUGGUGGAUCCACAAGCCACCAUGAUGGACUCGGACAUGUCGAGCCAAGACGUCGGCGUGGGCAAGCUUGGCACUCAGGCCGAGAAGGACCGCCGCUUGAAAAAGAAACAUGAACUCCUGGAAGAAGCCAGGAGGAAGGGCUUACCUUUCGCGCAGUGGGACGGACCCACUGUGGUGGCCUGGCUGGAGUUGUGGCUGGGAAUGCCGGCCUGGUACGUGGCGGCGUGCCGCGCCAACGUCAAGAGUGGCGCCAUCAUGUCGGCCCUCUCCGACACGGAGAUCCAGCGGGAGAUCGGAAUCAGCAACCCUCUCCACCGCCUCAAGCUCCGCCUCGCCAUCCAGGAGAUGGUCUCCCUCACCAGCCCGUCGGCGCCGCCCACCUCCAGAACUCCGUCUGGCAACGUGUGGGUGACCCACGAGGAGAUGGAGACCAUGGCGGCCCCUUCCAAAACGAAGUCCCAGUCUGACGAGGGCAGCUGGGCUCAGACGCUGGCGUACGGCGACAUGAACCACGAGUGGAUCGGGAACGAGUGGCUGCCCAGUCUCGGACUACCUCAGUACCGCAGCUACUUCAUGGAGUGCCUGGUGGACGCGCGCAUGCUGGACCACCUGACCAAGAAGGACCUGAGGGUGCACCUGAAGAUGGUGGACAGCUUCCACAGAACUAGUUUACAGUACGGCAUCAUGGGUCUGAAGAAGCUCAACUACGACAGGAAGGAGUUGGAGCGACGGCGGGAGACCAGCCAGCACGAAAUGAGAGACGUUCUGGUGUGGAGCAACGAGCGCGUGGUCCGCUGGGUGCAGAGCAUCGGCCUGAGGGACUACGCCGGCAUCCUGCACGAGAGCGGCGUGCACGGAGCGCUGGUCGCCCUGGACGACAACUUUGACUACAGCAGCCUGGCUCUGGUGCUGCAGAUCCCCAACCAAAACACUCAGGCCCGUCAGAUCCUGGAGCGCGAGUACAAUAAUCUCCUGGCGCUUGGCACCGACCGGCGGUUGGAUGAGUGCGACGACAAAGACUUCCGAGGUCCGUCGUGGAGGAGACAGUUCCCGCCGCGGGACGUGCAUGGGAUCAGCAUGAUGCCCGGCUCGGCCGAGACGCUGCCGGCCGGCUUCCGUCUCACCACCACGUCGGGUUACUCGCGGAGGUUACCCCCUGACGUCCUUUACGAGGACGGCGUGUAUGUGGAUUGGUUUUAAGUCGGACCCUCUGCAGUGCAGCGGCUGGACAGCUCCACGGUGAGAACCUACUCGUGCUGAGAGAGAGGAGACGGACCUUAAACUGUACCCUGCCCAGUUCUGAAUGGAGCUGCUGGACAGGCCAAAAUGGCUGGAGGGGUUCAGGUGUGGUCGGGGGGGGGGGGACAGUUGGGGGCACGCCAUUGGGACAACUCGCACUGCCAAGAAGCCCCCAUCUCCAAACCUCACCAACCAGCCCCUCCCUCGCUUCUAACGUGGCCUCCAGCCGCCGGUGCUAAACUAAAACUAUCCUGCAGGCUGGUGGCCAUUUCUACCUUUUACAUGUAAAGCAUACGACGUACUGUCUUAUUUAUUUCUUCUACAAAACAUGUUGUAGGUUAUCUGUAAAUUAAUAUAAAUAUGCCAUUUUUUAAUAUACAUACACACACGUCUAUGUGUAAAAAAAAAAAAAAAAAAAAAAAAUACAAAAAACCUCUUGUGCAAAGAAAUGUUAGUGGACCAUAGAUAAUAUAAUGCUGCUCUCAGAACACAUCAUCCUGACAUCCUUCUAUUUUUUCAUUGUGCUGAGACGAGGGCGCCCUCUAGUGGUUGCUGCGAGCCAUGUUUCUUCCAGGGAGGACGAGCACCGAGCUUCAACCAAUAGGAACGCGUUUAGACAUCCAGCCCCGCCCAUUUGGAGGUUAACCAGGAAGACGGACUUCCGGUCACCAUCAUCGUGUGCGUAGAUUGUUGACAAAACAACGUGAGGUGACUUCAGAAAUGCUUGCUGUGACAUUUUGGUGUCUUGGGACCUCGUUUUUGUCUUUUUCGCCAUCAAGUUAUGUCCGCUUUUUUUUUUUUAAAACAUCUUCAAUUUGCACGAACAAGGACUCAUGAUGACAUCUUGUGUGUAUAUUUUCAUUGAUUUAUGACUUGUACGUAUGUUGUGGUGAGCAAAAGAAAUUAAAAAGAAAGACUGAGUAAAAUGACUUUAUUAUUUCAACAAAAUGUUUGAAUGGAAAAAGUCAUGUAAACAU
Molecule: RNA transcript, 4796 nt
Organism: Nerophis lumbriciformis (worm pipefish)
Lineage: Eukaryota; Metazoa; Chordata; Actinopteri; Syngnathiformes; Syngnathidae
Gene: ppfia2
Gene name: PTPRF interacting protein alpha 2
Source: RefSeq, a predicted model, not a curated record